This is a long non-coding RNA of Culex quinquefasciatus (southern house mosquito), 331 nucleotides long. RefSeq lists it as uncharacterized. NCBI's taxonomy places the organism in Eukaryota, Metazoa, Arthropoda, Insecta, Diptera, Culicidae. The transcript has 3 exons. The record is from RefSeq and is a predicted model, not a curated record.
UACACGCAUUACACAAACACAGAAAAAACCCCAAACAAAAUAACACAAACACACAAUAAAAACAACCCACCCUACAGUUAGCUACAAACAGUUGUGCAGUGCAAACUACCAAACAGUAAAUGUGCAAAACAAAUCAAAAUCCAGGACAAAUACUGAUGUGCAGGAACAUAAACAGACGGUUUACACAUAUGACAAAACAAAACUUGACAAAGAACAACAUCCUUUGAUCCAGUGAAGAAGGCUUCAAAAUAUAAGCCGAAACGUCGGUAACGAAGGGAAACGGUUGUUACUUUUAUUCGACGGACUGAAAAGCCAAAUAUGAAGAAAACUG